Molecule: non-coding RNA, 2553 nt
Organism: Podarcis lilfordi (Lilford's wall lizard)
Lineage: Eukaryota; Metazoa; Chordata; Lepidosauria; Squamata; Lacertidae
Source: the annotation of a GenBank genome assembly
GAAUUGCUGCGAGAGGAAAGAACAAGCUGUGAUCUUUCAAGAUCACAAGCCUCCUUAACGGAAUAUGAUUAGAAACUUCACUUUAUUCUUCUUGGCUUCUUUUCUUUUUAGCAGCAAUGCACCUUCAAAUAGGCUAUGGACCUACUUGGAUUACUGAGGAACUGCUUGGGCACAAAAGAGUAAAAGAUAUGCAUAAGGAAUAUGCUAUCUGGAAGAUCUGAGAGCAGAGGCUGGCUCUAAUGAGAGUCCAUUAAUUCUGUGGACCAAGCAGUUCUUGGAAAAUGAGGAGAGCUACUUCAGUUUAUUUGCAGAGGCAUCCUGCUUUGGUUGAUUUAAAGUGCAAUCUUAUGGAUGUAAAGCUACAGGCCAGGCAAGCUGUCUGAAUAAUAAAAAUUGCUAGUGGCGUUCUUCUAUCCCAAGAUGCCAUACUUGGCACUACAAAACUCAACAUUCUGCAUCAAGAAGUAAACAGCUUUGAGGGUCAAGCAGUACAUAAAUUUUAUAAAAUAAAAUAAGAAGUGAUGGAUUCUGCUGGGGAUCAUAAUUUUUAUUGCUUUGUAUCCUCUCCUGGUCACAUAGGCGUUCUGAGGUUGUGCCAUCUUAUCCUCUAGGUCUGCCUCCCACAGCCUGGUGCUGUCCAGAUGUUUUGGGCUAUAAUUCCCAUCAGCCCUAGCCAGUAAUCAGGGACGACUGGAGUUGCUGUAGAUCAACUUCUGGAGGGCACCAGGUUGCAGAAGGCUAUUAUAGCGUGCAUGCCCUCAGCAGAAGCCAAAUGGCCAUGGAAGAAAUGGAUCGGGCAGUUUGCCAUCUCCUGUUAAUAGAAGGCUACUAGCAGAUGUCCUCUCUUCAUCAGAUCUGACUUGCCCUUCUGUAGAUGGGUUGACUGUGAGUAGAAAGGUGGACAGGCACAGGGCCUGGCACUCUUCAAUGCAGAGGAGAUGGUCUGGUGUGCAGAGGCCCAGAAGUGGAGAGAGAAGGGAAAGGGUUGGUCUCUGACAUCAUGCUUUAUGUGCCUCCAAAGUCCAGUGCAAGGUCUGACCCUCUUCUGGGCUCAAAAGAAGGGUAGAGAUUCUCCCUGACAUCGCACUGUGCAUUGGAGGCACUCUGAAGCUGCCAUCUUUGCUGUUUUCAAGCCUCUCAUUACUUGCCACAGUGUUGGGGAUGGGAUCCUGCCCCUCACUGAUAACCAUAGUUUCUAGCUUUGGAGAGACUAUAGUUCUCUGUCCUUGUGCCAGUGCUGAAAUUAUGUCUUAUUGCCACUGCAUGCUGGUGUACAGGAUCAAGCUGAAGACAAACUGUGCAACCAGGUUUAAGGUGGAUUCAAGGCCCUUUUUAUUUUUCCACUACUAAACUUAAAUCAUGCAACUUUGUGGUAUUUGGUGGCUUCAAUUUUUGUAUGCUCACAUGAAACUCCCAACUAAAACUUUAAAUCCCAAAAAGGUAACAGUCUCAAAAUUGGUGCAAGUAACUUUAUAAUUAACCAGCAACUGUCUUUUAACUUUACAUUAAGCACUAAUUUUUGUCUCUUCCUUUUGCAGUGCAUUUCUGACGUUAAAGCAGCUGCAGUUGCAGAACCCAGUCUGAAUCUGGCAGUGGGCUACAUACAUAUCUGCAGGAAUACAGUUUGUUAACUAAUAUCAACCGUGGCUGAAGGGAGGUUUUUGGCAAAAGUCACAUGUGGUUUCUACAUAGUGCAGAGGGAUUGGUUAAAUGUUGAAAAUGUAUUGCUAUGGGCAGAAGUAGCAUGUGUCUUCACUAAUUCUGUAUUUGGGGGAUUGUUGCCACCUUUGUGGAAGCAGUAGGGUGAAAAAUGGUUCUGGUGUGAUAUUAGUGAAAUUGACGGUGGUUGGGAUGUAGCAAUAGGAAUAAGGGGGUUUGGGGUAUGCUUGGUUUCCUGAGAGCUGCAGUCUGUUGGAAACCUUUCUAGAGGGGUUUGGACAAGGGAGCGUUCAAUGUACGAGCAUGAAGCUGAUCAUUUACCAGCAAAGGAUCACAGAGUGCUAGAUGCUUACUUAAAUUCAGUAAUAACUCACAGUGCCCUCCUACCUCUGACACAACUGUAUAAAUGGUCCAUUGUUGGCUUUCUGGGUAUAUCUAGGGGCAAGCAAUCAAGCCUCUGUCAAAUUUCUGGAAGUGGUAUGCACCAUGCCUUGCAGCUCGGCUCUUUGGCCAGGCUGAUCAAGAAAGUGUGUCAAAAUGAGUGUGGACAAGAGACUUCUUUUGUGAGCCUUUCAACCGAGGGAAUGUUCUCUUGCCUGUGAUAUUCUUCAGGUGCCUGUUAGAAGCUGCUUAGAGGGUUGCAUAAGCUCUCAAGUAGGCAUUUGUGCUCAAGUAUUUGACUAGCAAAUAUCCAGAAUUUUUUUUAUAAUAAAAUACUAGAAAAGCCUAGUUGUGUGAGAGAUUUUCUUUCGAUACAAUUCUUCUCAUACCCAGGAGGUGAUGUGCCAACACAGGGGUCUCCACUGAAAGAUAAUUGUCCACCUUGAAUUUCUUCAGAGUCUGUCAGGUUGCAAAGCUUUUUAAAAAAAAUAAACUUCUUGACAUUUGAAUUAC